RNAcentral lists this ribosomal RNA (253 nucleotides) under uncultured bacterium. RNAcentral describes it as "partial 16S ribosomal RNA". It matches the Rfam family "Bacterial small subunit ribosomal RNA", at positions 524 to 776 of the family's 1533-position model. The record is from RNAcentral.
UACGAAGGGGGCAAGCGUUGUUCGGAAUUACUGGGCGUAAAGGGCGCGUAGGCGGCGCGGGCAGUCAACGGUGAAAGCUUGGGGCUCAACCCCGAGUCGGCCGUCGAUACUCCCGGGCUGGAGCACUGUAGAGGCAGGUGGAAUUCCGGGUGUAGCGGUGGAAUGCGUAGAGAUCCGGAAGAACACCGGUGGCGAAGGCGGCCUGCUGGGCAGUAGCUGACGCUGAGGCGCGACAGCGUGGGGAGCAAACAGG